This 703-nucleotide long non-coding RNA is filed under the name Hordeum vulgare. RNAcentral describes it as "long non-coding RNA (HVUL_LNC001796)". The record is from RNAcentral. Lineage: Eukaryota; Viridiplantae; Streptophyta; Magnoliopsida; Poales; Poaceae.
GGGGAUUGGCCAACUCUAUCACUGGCGGCAGACGGAUGUUGAGACGAGAGGGGCUCUCCGCCUUGAACUGUCUCCAGCUCGCUGCCUGGCGUGGAUCCAUCGUCUCCGCCUCCUCGAUGUCCCAUAAUAUCAUAUCGUAGUCCAUCCAGCCGUCGUCGCCGCAAAAAGGGGCUCGCUCCUCGAAGGUAGAUCUGUGGAUGAUCUCCACCAUAAUAUCUCGCCAUUUGGAGCGGUCGGGGAAGCGCCCCCGCACCACGCGCAACAUCUCCGCGUGCACCUCCGAAGAGUGCAGGUCGAUUUCCGGCAGCAGCUCCACCGGAAUCGUCUACUGAAGGGCCAUCAGAGCUGCCACCAUUGUUGUGGGGUGUGCCUGCCUCGCGUGGCCUCGACGACACCUCCCCGCUAUCCUCCUCUCGGAUCUGGGGGCUGGGGCUUGGUGGGUGGAUGGCGGGAGGCUGAGAGUUGGAGUUAUGGGAGUAGGCGAGGCACAGGGGCCAUUAAUGGUGGACCCGAGGUAACCUCGCAGUCGCCUUUGUCACGGGUGGAACAAUCCAUCUCCUCUGAUCCCAACAAAGUGUACUUGUAAAAGCAGAAUGGAGUUAAGCUUGUUUACAUAAAUACGCAUUUCCUCAUGUUUUUGUUCUUCUUUCGUGGGAGGCACAUUUUCCUUCUCGUGGAAGCACGGAUUUGGUUUCGCGUGAGG